RNAcentral lists this ribosomal RNA (424 nucleotides) under Verrucomicrobiota bacterium. RNAcentral describes it as "Verrucomicrobia bacterium partial 16S ribosomal RNA". It matches the Rfam family "Bacterial small subunit ribosomal RNA", at positions 355 to 776 of the family's 1533-position model. The record is from RNAcentral. Lineage: Bacteria; Pseudomonadati; Verrucomicrobiota.
UGAGGAAUAUUGGUCAAUGGGCGAGAGCCUGAACCAGCCAAGUAGCGUGCAGGAUGACGGCCCUAUGGGUUGUAAACUGCUUUUAUAUGGGAAUAAAGUGAGGGACGUGUCCCUUAUUGCAUGUACCAUACGAAUAAGGACCGGCUAAUUCCGUGCCAGCAGCCGCGGUAAUACGGAAGGUCCAGGCGUUAUCCGGAUUUAUUGGGUUUAAAGGGAGCGUAGGCUGUUUGUUAAGCGUGUUGUGAAAUGUAGGAGCUCAACUUUUAGAUAGCAGCGCGAACUGGCAGACUUGAGUGCGCACAACGUAGGCGGAAUUCAUGGUGUAGCGGUGAAAUGCUUAGAUAUCAUGACGAACUCCGAUUGCGAAGGCAGCUUACGGGGGCGCAACUGACGCUAAAGCUCGAAGGUGCGGGUAUCGAACAGG